GAUGAACGCUGGCGGCGUGCUUAACACAUGCAAGUCGAACGGAAAGGCCCAAGCUUGCUUGGGUACUCGAGUGGCGAACGGGUGAGUAACACGUGGGUGAUCUGCCCUGCACUUCGGGAUAAGCCUGGGAAACUGGGUCUAAUACCGGAUAGGACCACAUUUUGGAUGGUGUGGUGGAAAGUUUUUCGGUGUGGGAUGAGCUCGCGGCCUAUCAGCUUGUUGGUGGGGUAAUGGCCUACCAAGGCGUCGACGGGUAGCCGGCCUGAGAGGGUGUACGGCCACAUUGGGACUGAGAUACGGCCCAGACUCCUACGGGAGGCAGCAGUGGGGAAGAUUGCACAAUGGGCGCAAGCCUGAUGCAGCGACGCCGCGUGGGGGAUGACGGCCUUAGGGUUGUAAACUCCUUUCGCUAGGGACGAAGCGUUAUGUGACGGUACCUGGAGAAGAAGCACCGGCUAACUACGUG
Molecule: ribosomal RNA, 466 nt
Filed under: uncultured bacterium
Lineage: Bacteria
Description: partial 16S ribosomal RNA
Rfam family: Bacterial small subunit ribosomal RNA
Source: RNAcentral